UAUUGGCCAAUGGGCGAAAGCCUGAUCCAGCCAUGCCGCGUGAGUGACGAAGGUCUUCGGAUUGUAAAGCUCUUUUGGCGGGGACGAUAAUGACGGUACCCGCAGAAUAAGCCCCGGCUAACUUCGUGCCAGCAGCCGCGGUAAUACGAAGGGGGCUAGCGUUGUUCGGAAUUACUGGGCGUAAAGCGCACGUAGGCGGAUUUGUAAGUCAGGGGUGAAAUCCCGGGGCUCAACCUCGGAACUGCCUUUGAUACUGCAAGUCUCGAGACCGGAAGAGGUGAGUGGAAUUCCUAGUGUAGAGGUGAAAUUCGUAGAUAUUAGGAAGAACACCAGGGCGAAGACAGCUCAAUCACCUACUCUGACGCUGAGUCGAGGAG
RNAcentral lists this ribosomal RNA (377 nucleotides) under uncultured bacterium. Its description in RNAcentral is "bacterial SSU rRNA". It matches the Rfam family "Bacterial small subunit ribosomal RNA", at positions 362 to 758 of the family's 1533-position model. The record is from RNAcentral.